GUGCUCACUUUGGUGGCACAUGUACCAAAAUUGAAAUGACACAGAGAACAUUAGCACAAUCCCUGCACAAGGAUGACACGUAAGUUUGUGAAGUGUUUUAAAAAAAA
Molecule: small nuclear RNA, 107 nt
Organism: Cebus imitator (Panamanian white-faced capuchin)
Lineage: Eukaryota; Metazoa; Chordata; Mammalia; Primates; Cebidae
Source: Ensembl